Molecule: ribosomal RNA, 451 nt
Filed under: uncultured bacterium
Lineage: Bacteria
Description: partial 16S ribosomal RNA
Rfam family: Bacterial small subunit ribosomal RNA
Source: RNAcentral
GAUGAACGCUGGCGGCGUGCCUAACACAUGCAAGUCGAGCGGCAGCGAGGGGUGCUUGCACCCUGUCGGCGAGCGGCGGACGGCUGAGUAACGCGUGGGAACGUGCCCCAAAGUGAGGAAUAACUGCCCGAAAGGGUAGCUAAUACCGCAUAUUAUCUUCGGAUCAAAGGAUUUAUCCGCUUUGGGAGCGGCUCGCGUCGGAUUAGGUAGUUGGUGAGGUAAUGGCUCACCAAGCCGACGAUCCGUAGCUGGUCUGAGAGGAUGACCAGCCAGACUGGAACUGAGACACGGUCCAGACUCCUACGGGAAGCAGCAGUGAGGAAUCUUCCACAAUGGGCGAAAGCCUGAUGGAGCAACGACGCGUGCAGGACGAAGGCCUUCGGGUUGUAAACUGCUUUUAUAAGUGAGGAAUAUGACGGUAACUUAUGAAUAAGGAUCGGCUAACUACGUG